UUGCCCUACGGGGCGCAGCAGUGGGGAAUAUUGCACAAUGGGGGAAACCCUGAUGCAGCAACGCCGCGUGGGUGAAGAAGUAUUUCGGUAUGUAAAGCCCUAUCAGCAGGGAAGAGAAUGACGGUACCUGACUAAGAAGCCCCGGCUAACUACGUGCCAGCAGCCGCGGUAAUACGUAGGGGGCAAGCGUUAUCCGGAUUUACUGGGUGUAAAGGGAGCGUAGACGGCUGCGCAAGUCAGAAGUGAAAGCCCGGGGCUCAACCGCGGGACUGCUUUUGAAACUGUGUAGCUAGAGUGCAGGAGAG
RNAcentral lists this ribosomal RNA (305 nucleotides) under uncultured bacterium. RNAcentral describes it as "bacterial SSU rRNA". It matches the Rfam family "Bacterial small subunit ribosomal RNA", at positions 334 to 656 of the family's 1533-position model. The record is from RNAcentral.